Molecule: ribosomal RNA, 578 nt
Filed under: uncultured bacterium
Lineage: Bacteria
Description: bacterial SSU rRNA
Rfam family: Bacterial small subunit ribosomal RNA
Source: RNAcentral
CCUACGGGAGGCAGCAGUGAGGAAUAUUGGUCAAUGGGCGCAAGCCUGAACCAGCCAUGUCGCGUGCAGGAAGACUGCCCUAUGGGUUGUAAACUGCUUUUAUAGUAGAAGAAACACAUCUACGUGUAGAUGUCUGCCAGUAUACUAUGAAUAAGCAUCGGCUAACUCCGUGCCAGCAGCCGCGGUAAUACGGAGGAUGCAAGCGUUAUCCGGAUUUAUUGGGUUUAAAGGGUGCGUAGGCGGGACUGUAAGUCAGGGGUGAAAUACUGCAGCUUAACUGUAGCAUUGCCUUUGAAACUGCCGUUCUUGAGUACAGUUGAGGUAGGCGGAAUGUGGUGUGUAGCGGUGAAAUGCAUAGAUAUACCACAGAACGCCGAUUGCGAAGGCAGCUUACUAAGCUGUUACUGACGCUGAGGCACGAAAGCGUGGGGAUCAAACAGGAUUAGAUACCCUGGUAGUCCACGCUGUAAACGAUGAUUACUGGUUGUUAGCGAUAUAUAGCUAGUGACUGAGCGAAAGCAUUAAGUAAUCCACCUGGGGAGUACGUCGGCAACGAUGAAACUCAAAUGAAUUGACGG